AGCCUGCAACUCGGCUGCAUGAAGCUGGAAUCGCUAGUAAUCGCGGAUCAGAAUGCCGCGGUGAAUACGUUCCCGGGUCUUGUACACACCGCCCGUCACACCAUGGGAGUCGGGAAUGCCCGAAGUCAGUGACCCAACCGAAAGGGGGAGCUGCCGAAGGCAGGCCUGGUAACUGGGGUGAAGUCGUAACAAGGUAGC
This 198-nucleotide ribosomal RNA is filed under the name uncultured bacterium. RNAcentral's name for it is "partial 16S ribosomal RNA". It matches the Rfam family "Bacterial small subunit ribosomal RNA", at positions 1302 to 1500 of the family's 1533-position model. The record is from RNAcentral.